AUGGUUAAGCUAAUAAGAGCACACGGAGGAUGCCUAGGCGCCAGGAGCCGACGAAGGACGUGGCGAACAACGAAACUGCCUCGGGGAGCUGUAAGCAAGCUUUGAUCCGGGGGUGUCCGAAUGGGGAAACCCAGCUGUGGUAAUUCGCAGUUACUCAUACCUGAAUACAUAGGGUGUGCAGAGGCAGACCAGGGGAACUGAAACAUCUAAGUACCCUGAGGAAGAGAAAACAAUAGUGAUUCCGUCAGUAGCGGCGAGCGAACGCGGAACAGCCUAAACCAAGGGGCUUGCCCCUUGGGGUUGUGGGACGUCUCACAUGGAGUUACAAAGGAAUAUGGUAGGUGAAGAGGUCUGGAAAGGCCCGCGAUAGAGGUAAAAGCCCUGUAACCUAAACUGUGUUCUCUCCGAGACGGAUCCCGAGUAGUGCGGGGCACGUGAAACCCCGUAUGAAUCCAGCAGGACCAUCUGCUAAGGCUAA
RNAcentral lists this ribosomal RNA (478 nucleotides) under Paenibacillus sp. P3E. RNAcentral describes it as "bacterial LSU rRNA". It matches the Rfam family "Bacterial large subunit ribosomal RNA", at positions 1 to 469 of the family's 2925-position model. Lineage: Bacteria; Bacillati; Bacillota; Bacilli; Caryophanales; Paenibacillaceae. The record is from RNAcentral.